Molecule: small RNA, 28 nt
Filed under: Bombyx mori (domestic silkworm)
Lineage: Eukaryota; Metazoa; Arthropoda; Insecta; Lepidoptera; Bombycidae
Description: ovarian small RNA-6788
Source: RNAcentral
UCAAUCAUUUUCGUCCACGUAUCCUCCC